GCCUUGUAAAAAAACAUGGCUGCAAUUAUAGUGAAAUGUAAAUAUGUUCCUUGAGUUGAGUGAAACUGUGAAACCAGUGGAACUACAGGAAACUACAAAUCAAUUUAUCAAGGAUUUUAUUUCUAUUUAUUUAUUUUCUGUAUAUUAUUGUAUAGUAUUGUUAAUAAAGAGUUAUAGUUUGAUUUGUGCUCGGUUAAUUUCAGUGUUCGAUAGUAAAAGUGCAAAAGUGUUUUUGUUUUUCGUUCAAAAUGAAGCGCUGUUGCGUGCCUAAGUGUAAAACAGCUAUUAAUUUACGUGCUGUACCAUGUACUGAUGUUACUAGAUGGAAGAAGAAGGACUUGAUCAUUAGAAAUCAGCAUGCUCAAUGGGCUUUCAUUGAACGGGCUUAUGCUACUGAUGGUGCAGGAGGACGUGCCAGAACCAUAGAUUUAAACGAUAAACAUAUAAACUCAAGUUCCUACGAUAAGAUGAAGAAUACCUGGAUCACUGGGCAUCUGCAUGCUCAAUAUGCUUCCAUCAAUGUUAAGAAUAUGCUACUGUUGGUGUAGGAGGAGGGUGUCCGAGAACAUAAAAAAUUACUUAAGAUGAAGGUCAAUUAUUAUGCUUCGGACGUCUUCAGUUACAGAGAUACACUGUACACUGCCUUUUACUUGGGAAAAUGAAGUCAUACGAAGAUAUUAGUUUUAGUGUUUCACAAUUAUGUUAACAUAACUCUCUUACAUACUUAUAACAUAAGCCUCUCUGGUUCAGUGGUUACCCUAUGUGGUCACGAGGUCCGGGUUUAUAUAAGAUACUGAGCUGUUCAUCUAAGAAAUUUUGACUUUUCUGAUCUACAUGUGCUCUUUAGUAUAAAAAAAGUUCUCCGUCUCCUAUAAAAAUGGUUGAGGUGUCAUUCGAUUCGGAAUUGAAUGUACACAGUUUUUGAAAAAUUUGAAGGCUCGCUCACUAAAAUUGCAAAAGUUAUAAAUAAUUCACUAAAAAUGAAAAAGGGGUUCAAGCAUUUUUAUAGGAGACAGAACUUUUUUUUACUAAAGAGCAGUGAGCACAUUCCAUCCAGUUUAAAUGCGUUAUAUCCAUUAAUUACGCGACAUCUGUCAUAUAUUUUGUGAAGUAGUCAUAUAAUUUUGUAACUGUACAAUUUGGUAUUUUACUGCAAGGAAAUGUUUACAUUUUUAUUAAAGAAAUAAAUAAAAGA
Molecule: long non-coding RNA, 1195 nt
Organism: Bicyclus anynana (squinting bush brown)
Lineage: Eukaryota; Metazoa; Arthropoda; Insecta; Lepidoptera; Nymphalidae
Exons: 4
Source: RefSeq, a predicted model, not a curated record